UACAGAGGUCUCAAGCGUUGUUCGGAUUCAUUGGGCGUAAAGGGUGCGUAGGCGGCGGGGCAAGUCUGAUGUGAAAUCCCGGGGCUCAACCCUGGAACUGCACUGGAUACUGCUCUGCUAGAGAUCUGGAGAGGAAACUGGAAUUUACGGUGUAGCAGUGAAAUGCGUAGAUAUCGUAAGGAAGGCCAGUGGCGAAGGCGAGUUUCUGGACAGAUUCUGACGCUGAGGCACGAAGGCCAGGGGAGCAAACGGG
This 253-nucleotide ribosomal RNA is filed under the name uncultured bacterium. RNAcentral describes it as "partial 16S ribosomal RNA". It matches the Rfam family "Bacterial small subunit ribosomal RNA", at positions 524 to 776 of the family's 1533-position model. The record is from RNAcentral.